This 18-nucleotide non-coding RNA is filed under the name Arabidopsis thaliana (thale cress). The record is from RNAcentral. Lineage: Eukaryota; Viridiplantae; Streptophyta; Magnoliopsida; Brassicales; Brassicaceae. RNAcentral also lists the same sequence under 13 other names.
UACCUGGUUGAUCCUGCC